GAUGAACGCUGGCGGCGUGCCUAAUACAUGCAAGUCGAGCGAACAGACGAGGAGCUUGCUCCUCUGACGUUAGCGGCGGACGGGUGAGUAACACGUGGAUAACCUACCUAUAAGACUGGGAUAACUUCGGGAAACCGGAGCUAAUACCGGAUAAUAUAUUGAACCGCAUGGUUCAAUAGUGAAAGACGGUUUUGCUGUCACUUAUAGAUGGAUCCGCGCCGCAUUAGCUAGUUGGUAAGGUAACGGCUUACCAAGGCAAGGAUGCGUAGCCGACCUGAGAGGGUGGUCGGCCACACUGGAACUGAGACACGGUCCAGACUCCUACGGGAGGCAGCAGUAGGGAAUCUUCCGCAAUGGGCGAAAGCUUGACGGAGCAACGCCGCGUGAGUGAUGAAGGUCUUCGGAUCGUAAAACUCUGUUAUUAGGGAAGAACAAAUGUGUAAGUAACUAUGCACGUCUUGACGGUACCUAAUCAGAAAGCCACGGCUAACUACGUG
Molecule: ribosomal RNA, 497 nt
Filed under: uncultured bacterium
Lineage: Bacteria
Description: partial 16S ribosomal RNA
Rfam family: Bacterial small subunit ribosomal RNA
Source: RNAcentral